UAUGACAGAUUAUAUGUAAUGGAUUUAAAACUCAUUUAUAAAGGAUUUACCCUUUUUUUAGAAAA
Molecule: transfer RNA, 65 nt
Filed under: Polyommatus achaemenes
Lineage: Eukaryota; Metazoa; Arthropoda; Insecta; Lepidoptera; Lycaenidae
Also listed under: 1 other name
Description: tRNA-Leu
Source: RNAcentral